AGAGUUUGAUCCUGGCUCAGGAUGAACGCUAGCGGCAGGCUAAUACAUGCAAGUCGAACGGCAGCAGCACUUCGGUGGCUGGCGAGUGGCGCACGGGUGCGUAACGCGUAUGCAAUCUACCUCUUACUGGGGGAUAGCUUCCGGAAACGGAAAUUAAUACCGCAUAAUAUAUUUGAUUCACAUGGAUUAGAUAUCAAAACUGAGGUGGUAAGAGAUGAGCAUGCGUCCCAUUAGCUAGUUGGCGGGGUAAGGGCCCACCAAGGCGAUGAUGGGUAGGGGGUCUGAGAGGAUGAUCCCCCACACUGGUACUGAGAUACGGACCAGACUCCUACGGGAGGCAGCAGUAGGGAAUAUUGGUCAAUGGGCGAGAGCCUGAACCAGCCAUGCCGCGUGUAGGAAGACGGCCUUCUGGGUUGUAAACUACUUUUACCGGGGAAGAAAACGUCCAUGCGUGGAUAAUUGACGGUACCCGUUGAAUAAGCACCGGCUAACUCCGUGCCAGCAGCCGCGGUAAUACGGAGGGUGCAAGCGUUGUCCGGAUUUAUUGGGUUUAAAGGGUGCGUAGGCGGUUUUAUAAGUCAGUGGUGAAAGACGUCAGCUUAACUGUCGCAGUGCCAUUGAUACUGUAGAACUUGAGUAUAGUUGAGGUAGGCGGAAUUUAUGGUGUAGCGGUGAAAUGCAUAGAUACCAUAAGGAACUCCAAUAGCGUAGGCAGCUUACUAAACUAUAACUGACGCUGAGGCACGAAAGCAUGGGUAGCGAACAGGAUUAGAUACCCUGGUAGUCCAUGCCGUAAACUAUGAUUACUCGAUGUGUGCGAUACAAGUACGCGUCCAAGCGAAAGCGUUAAGUAAUCCA
RNAcentral lists this ribosomal RNA (858 nucleotides) under uncultured Bacteroidota bacterium. RNAcentral describes it as "bacterial SSU rRNA". It matches the Rfam family "Bacterial small subunit ribosomal RNA", at positions 8 to 871 of the family's 1533-position model. The record is from RNAcentral. Lineage: Bacteria; Pseudomonadati; Bacteroidota.